CCUACUAUUUUUAUGCCGGUGUGUUUGUAUAUUAUGAGACGUGGUUUUAAAACUAUUGACCCUGCAGUUAAGGAAAGGCAUCAGGAAGAUGCUCACACUUUAAAGAUGCCCCAAAUCUGGGUCAAACCGGUUCAGGAAGAACCACUUACAGCGACAGGUUCUGCUUGGUUGUCCCAAUCCUGGGAGUCCAAUGUAUGGACCAGGACAUACCCCAACUCCUAAGCAGGCACCUGCUCCAAGCUCCAGAGAAUACACUCCAGGAGACCAGCUGUCACUUGCUGCACCCACCAGAACCACCAAGCCCCAGAGGCUGUCCUUCUCUCAUGACCAAAAGAGGACCACCAGCAGGCAUGAAGCUCCACCGAAUGCAGAGCCUGGUGGACCAGGACCACCAAGAAAAACGCCAAUUCCUCUCACACUUUGAGCCAGACACAGUUCUUGACUGAGCAUCAGAACUGAUGAGCAAAAAUUUAGAAACAUUGGAACCCAGGCCACACUCUGGACCGCAUAGAAGUCUCUGUAGCCCAGGAAAUUUGCAAAACUCCCCUGGAAACUCUCAAGUACAGACAUAUUUGAGAAGCAGGCACAAAGCACCUCAAAUCUACAGCCUUGAGUCAGGUAAGAAAGCCCCUGACACACACCUGGGCAGCCCUUUCUCAGAAAUGGGACACAAGGACCGUGACUCCACCCAGGCAGAGCCAGCAAGAGAGCUCUCAAGACUGCAUUCUUAGAGGAUCUGCUAAAGGAUCACAAUCACAGUGCUUGGGGACAUCCUGCC
Long non-coding RNA from Mesocricetus auratus (golden hamster), 778 nucleotides. RefSeq lists it as uncharacterized. The record is from RefSeq and is a predicted model, not a curated record. The transcript is spliced from 4 exons. Lineage: Eukaryota; Metazoa; Chordata; Mammalia; Rodentia; Cricetidae.